This 75-nucleotide transfer RNA is filed under the name Holosporaceae bacterium. RNAcentral's name for it is "tRNA-Thr". It matches the Rfam family "tRNA". Rfam says of the family: Transfer RNA (tRNA) molecules are approximately 80 nucleotides in length. Their secondary structure includes four short double-helical elements and three loops (D, anti-codon, and T loops). Further hydrogen bonds mediate the characteristic L-shaped molecular structure. tRNAs have two regions of fundamental functional importance: the anti-codon, which is responsible for specific mRNA codon recognition, and the 3' end, to which the tRNAs corresponding amino acid is attached (by aminoacyl-tRNA synthetases). tRNAs cope with the degeneracy of the genetic code in two manners: having more than one tRNA (with a specific anti-codon) for a particular amino acid; and 'wobble' base-pairing, i.e. permitting non-standard base-pairing at the 3rd anti-codon position. Lineage: Bacteria; Pseudomonadati; Pseudomonadota; Alphaproteobacteria; Holosporales; Holosporaceae. The record is from RNAcentral.
GCCGCCGUGGCUCAGUGGUAGAGCGUAUCCUUGGUAAGGAUAAGGUCAUGAGUCCGAUUCUCAUCGGCGGCACCA